Molecule: transfer RNA, 61 nt
Filed under: Chelonia mydas (Green sea turtle)
Lineage: Eukaryota; Metazoa; Chordata; Testudines; Cheloniidae
Rfam family: tRNA
About the family: Transfer RNA (tRNA) molecules are approximately 80 nucleotides in length. Their secondary structure includes four short double-helical elements and three loops (D, anti-codon, and T loops). Further hydrogen bonds mediate the characteristic L-shaped molecular structure. tRNAs have two regions of fundamental functional importance: the anti-codon, which is responsible for specific mRNA codon recognition, and the 3' end, to which the tRNAs corresponding amino acid is attached (by aminoacyl-tRNA synthetases). tRNAs cope with the degeneracy of the genetic code in two manners: having more than one tRNA (with a specific anti-codon) for a particular amino acid; and 'wobble' base-pairing, i.e. permitting non-standard base-pairing at the 3rd anti-codon position.
Source: Rfam by way of RNAcentral
GUAGCCCAGUGGUUAGAGCACUCACCUGGGAUGUGGGAGACACAGGUUCAAUUUCCCUGUC